Long non-coding RNA from Mesoplodon densirostris (Blainville's beaked whale), 330 nucleotides. RefSeq lists it as uncharacterized. Lineage: Eukaryota; Metazoa; Chordata; Mammalia; Artiodactyla; Ziphiidae. The transcript has 3 exons. The record is from RefSeq and is a predicted model, not a curated record.
UGUUUUCCAUGAUGAUGCUGCAUCUCCAGCUCCUCCCUCUGAACUUUGUGUGAGCUGCGGGCUAGGCUGGACUUUGGUGUCUGCCUUUCAGAUGGUUGGCGCCAUAAGAGGGCCACGUGUGUGCAGGAAGAAGCAAAAGGCAGCUUAGUGAAUUGGAGACAACUGGAGGUGGUUUAUAAGGAUGGAGUGCAAAGGGGAGGCAUUAAUUUUGGACAUGCUGAGUUUGAGAUAGCUAUUAGAGAUCCAAAAGAAGAACUCAACCAAGCAGCUGGAUAUAUGAACGCAGAGUUCAGGAGAGAGCUCUAGGCUGGACAUGCACAUGUGUGAGUC